ACGGAGGGUGCAAGCGUUAAUCGGAAUUACUGGGCGUAAAGGGUGCGUAGGCGGAAUAAUAAGUUACUUGUGAAAGUCCCGGGCUCAACCUGGGUUGGACGGGUAAAACUGUUAUUCUGGAGUAUAGGAGAGGACAGUGGAAUUUCCGGUGUAGCGGUGAAAUGCGUAGAUAUCGGAAGGAACAUCGGUGGCGAAGGCGACUGUCUGGCCUAAUACUGACGCUGAGGCACGAAAGCGUGGGUAGCAAACAGG
RNAcentral lists this unclassified non-coding RNA (252 nucleotides) under uncultured Gammaproteobacteria bacterium. Its description in RNAcentral is "contains 16S-23S intergenic spacer region". It matches the Rfam family "Bacterial small subunit ribosomal RNA", at positions 525 to 776 of the family's 1533-position model. The record is from RNAcentral. Lineage: Bacteria; Pseudomonadati; Pseudomonadota; Gammaproteobacteria.